This 414-nucleotide ribosomal RNA is filed under the name uncultured microorganism. RNAcentral describes it as "bacterial SSU rRNA". It matches the Rfam family "Archaeal small subunit ribosomal RNA", at positions 459 to 872 of the family's 1478-position model. The record is from RNAcentral.
CAGCAGCCGCGGUAAUACCGGCGGCCCGAGUGGCGGUCACUAUUAUUGGGCUUAAAGCGUCCGUAGCCGGGUUGGGAAGUCCUCCGGGAAAUCUGGCCGCUUAACGGUCAGAAUGCCGGAGGAUACUCCCAGCCUAGGGAGCGGGAGAGGCCGAGGGGAUUCCCGGAGUAGGGGGGAAAUCCUAUAAUCCCGGGAGGACCACCUGUGGCGAAGGCGCUCGGCUGGAACGCGUCCGACGGGGAGGGACGAAGGCCAGGGGAGCAAACCGGAUUAGAUACCCGGGUAGUCCUGGCUGUAAACGAUGCGGACUUUGUGUCGGACAAGCUAUGAGCUUGUCCGGUGCCGGAGGGAAACCGUUAAGUCCGCCGCCUGGGGAGUACGGCCGCAAGGCUGAAACUUAAAGGAAUUGGCGGG